GACGAACGCUGGCGGCAUGCCUAAUACAUGCAAGUCGAGCGAACAGAUGAAGUGCUUGCACUUCUGACGUUAGCGGCGAACGGGUGAGUAACACGUAAGGAAUCUACCUAUAAGCGGGGGAUAACAUUCGGAAACGGGUGCUAAUACCGCAUAAUAUCUUCUUCCGCAUGGAAGAAGAUUGAAAGACGGCUCUGCUGUCACUUAUAGAUGACCUUGCGGUGCAUUAGUUAGUUGGUGGGGUAAUGGCCUACCAAGACGAUGAUGCAUAGCCGACCUGAGAGGGUGAUCGGCCACAUUGGGACUGAGACACGGCCCAAACUCCUACGGGAGGCAGCAGUAGGGAAUCUUCCGCAAUGGGCGAAAGCCUGACGGAGCAAUGCCGCGUGAGUGAAGAAGGCCUUCGGGUCGUAAAACUCUGUUAUAAGAGAAGAACAAAUUGUAGAGUAACUGCUACAGUCUUGA
Molecule: ribosomal RNA, 462 nt
Filed under: Granulicatella sp. oral taxon D03
Lineage: Bacteria; Bacillati; Bacillota; Bacilli; Lactobacillales; Carnobacteriaceae
Description: bacterial SSU rRNA
Rfam family: Bacterial small subunit ribosomal RNA
Source: RNAcentral